Molecule: ribosomal RNA, 604 nt
Filed under: uncultured fungus
Lineage: Eukaryota; Fungi
Description: eukaryotic LSU rRNA
Rfam family: 5.8S ribosomal RNA (bases 242-395)
Source: RNAcentral
CUUGGUCAUUUAGAGGAAGUAAAAGUCGUAACAAGGUUUCCGUAGGUGAACCUGCGGAAGGAUCAUUACAGUAGUCAUCCGGGUUGCCGCAAGGCCUCCCGGGUAACCUACCACCCUUUGUUUAUUACACUUUGUUGCUUUGGCAGGCCUGCCCUCGGGCUGCUGGCUCCGGCCGGCGAGCGCCUGCCAGAGGACCUAAACUCUGUUUGUCUAUAAUGUCUGAGUACUAUAUAAUAGUUAAAACUUUCAACAACGGAUCUCUUGGUUCUGGCAUCGAUGAAGAACGCAGCGAAAUGCGAUAAGUAAUGUGAAUUGCAGAAUUCAGUGAAUCAUCGAAUCUUUGAACGCACAUUGCGCCCCCUGGUAUUCCGGGGGGCAUGCCUGUCCGAGCGUCAUUACAACCCUCAAGCUCAGCUUGGUGUUGGGCCCCGCCGCCCCGGCGGGCCCUAAAGUCAGUGGCGGUGCCGUCCGGCUCCGAGCGUAGUAAUUCUUCUCGCUCUGGAGGUCCGGUCGUGUGCUCGCCAGCAACCCCCAAUUUUUUUCAGGUUGACCUCGGAUCAGGUAGGGAUACCCGCUGAACUUAAGCAUAUCAAUAAGCGGAGGA